Molecule: ribosomal RNA, 457 nt
Filed under: uncultured bacterium
Lineage: Bacteria
Description: bacterial SSU rRNA
Rfam family: Bacterial small subunit ribosomal RNA
Source: RNAcentral
AACGAACGCUGGCGGCAGGCCUAACACAUGCAAGUCGAGCGCCCCGCAAGGGGAGCGGCGGACGGGUGAGUAACGCGUGGGAACGUACCCUUUGCUACGGAAUAGCCUCGGGAAACUGGGAGUAAUACCGUAUGUGCCCUUCGGGGGAAAGAUUUAUCGGCAAAGGAUCGGCCCGCGUUGGAUUAGGUAGUUGGUGGGUAAUGGCCUACCAAGCCGACGAUCCAUAGCUGGUUUGAGAGGAUGAUCAGCCACACUGGGACUGAGACACGGCCCAGACUCCUACGGGAGGCAGCAGUGGGGAAUCUUAGACAAUGGGCGCAAGCCUGAUCUAGCCAUGCCGCGUGAGCGAUGAAGGCCUUAGGGUUGUAAAGCUCUUUCAGUGGGGAAAUAAUGACUGUACCCACAGAAGAAGCCCCGGCUAACUCCGUGCCAGCAGCCGCGGUAAAAAGUACUCUAU